GACGAACGCUGGCGGCGUGCUUAACACAUGCAAGUCGAACGGAAAGGCCCUGCUUUUGUGGGGUGCUCGAGUGGCGAACGGGUGAGUAACACGUGAGUAACCUGCCCUUGAAUUUGGGAUAACUUCAGGAAACUGGGGCUAAUACCGGAUAGGAGCUACUGCUGCAUGGUGGGGGUUGGAAAGUUUCGGCGGUUGGGGAUGGACUCGCGGCUUAUCAGCUUGUUGGUGGGGUAGUGGCUUACCAAGGCUUUGACGGGUAGCCGGCCUGAGAGGGUGACCGGCGACAUUGGGACUGAGAUACGGCCCAGACUCCUACGGGAGGCAACAGUGGAGAAUAUUGCACAAUGAGCGGAAGCCUGAUGCAGCAACGCCGCGUGCGGGAUGACGGCCUUCGGGUUAUAAACCGCUGUCGCCUGUGACGAAGCGUGAGUGACGGUAAUGGGUAAAGAAGCACCGGCUAACUACGUG
This 468-nucleotide ribosomal RNA is filed under the name uncultured bacterium. RNAcentral's name for it is "partial 16S ribosomal RNA". It matches the Rfam family "Bacterial small subunit ribosomal RNA", at positions 28 to 507 of the family's 1533-position model. The record is from RNAcentral.